AAUGAGGAGUCUUUUCUUCAAUGUUGGUCGAAUCUACUCUCACUUUUAAUAGAGAAAAAUUGCUUUGCUAAACCCUAACCGUCCUGCUCCUGUCAACUUCCCCUCUCCGAUUUCUCAUUUCUCAUCUUCUCACUAAAACUAUCUCGAAGUUUCUUAUCAAUGGCGAAGAAAAAAGAAGCUGCAAUUGAGCAAUCUGGAGGGAUAUUUACUAAGUUAUCAAAUUCCAGCUUUUAUGAGAAUCUACUUAAUUUUUGAAAUUAUUAGGAUUUUAUUAUUUAUUCAGGUCUCAUCUAGAAUUGUUUAUGCAAUUUUAAUCUGAGUUGUUCAGAUCUUACACUAUAAAGUUUUAUGCGAAUCUAGGUUUGUAAAAUUUGAAUAGCGGAAGCCACACAAAACAACCGCCGCCUUACGCCUUAUGAACCAAAUGGUUCCUUUAUCUCCUCUUUUAAUCUCUUCAUUUUCCAUUAAUGGCGCAUCUUCGAUUUCUAGGGUUUUUGUUUUGAUCUGAAUUUUAAACUCUUGUUUCCAUACCAUCUGAUUGUUUUUUAUUGUGAUUUUUAGGGUUAGCAAGAAGGUGAAGGUAUAGGCAAAGAUUAGCAAGGUAUCAGAAGAUACAUCAGAGUUUAGAAAAAACAAGGUGUUGGAGUGGAGAAGCAACUGUUGGGCAUUUGAUACCACUAAAUUUGACACCAUUCUCAAAAAGUUGAGUGAUCAACUUCUUUUUUUCCCCUUCUAAUUUCAUCAUCUUUAUUGCUUCUUAUGCUCUAAUUGUUGUAUUUAUGUAUGUGUAUUUGGUGUAUCAUCAAUUUUCAAAGAAUUGUUAUAUAGUUUCGGUAGGCUGGAUCUUUGUCUUAGCUAGAGGGCGGUGGUUUUAGUUGCUGUAGUGGUGGUUAAAGUAGGUUGGUGAGUGGGGAUUAUGUUAGUUGGAGUAAUAUGGGUACAUAGGGAGAUGGCAGAGGGAGUGGUGGGGUGGGUGGGAGGGAAUGAGUUAACUAAGGGUGAGGUAGCUAACGAAAAAGGUGAAAAUAUUUAAUAAUGGGGUAUAUGUAAGUGUGUACUUAAAAGGCUUCCUUUAUAAGUUUGGUGCAACUAUUGUGACAUUUUUAUAAUGAAAAUGUUAUUGCUGCAAAGCUACAGACUAAUGACAUUGAUAAUACACUCCAAGUAGUUUUUUUAAAGUAUAUUGGUCUUUUAUGACAUUUUCAACAUACGUAUCUUUGUGAUUAUUUGAUUAUAUCUUACUAAUGAUCCAUGAAAUUGAUCAUUUGUUAAUCCAUAUAUUGGUUUCCGAAAAAUACAUAACAUACAAUUGAGUUUCACAAUCAAUACCAGGUGUUGAGGUUCAAAAAUUGUGAUUGAAAUCUCAGAUCUUGUUUUCUUUCCGUGUAAAAUGUUAUUGCUUCAUAGAUUUUGUUGCAUGGACACACCAGGAGGAUGCAUUGAUCGGAGCAGAAUUGUCUAUGUUUGAAAAAGGUGUAGCUCAAAGUCAAUCUUUUGAUGAAGUAAGUAUGGUAACUCCUAACGAAGCUAUGUUCUAUUUAGAAUGAGGAUAAUCAGUUAGUUUCACAUAGCUACUUAUUGUUGUAUUGUGAAGCAACUUCUUUCCGUUCCUUAUCUCCCAUGGGUGUUUCCUUAUUAUAUCGGCAGUACUUUAACUAUUCCCUUUGGGUUUUCCCUUUAUAUACUUCUGGAAAGUUUUAUCGCCAAAUGUUAGCAAACAGUUGUAAGUACUCUACACUUUAGGUGUCUCUUCUUCUGUGGGAUUUGGAUGUUGGUCAAAUAUUUAGAAGUGGGUGAGUGAGUGAUUGAUGAUUAACCCAUGUUCGGUGAAUGAGUAAGAAAUGGCUAUAUAUUCUUUAGUAGCUACUUUUGCUAUAUAACUGUUAUAGGUUUCGUAGAAUUUUUAGUGACAUAUGUUGGGAAGUAUAAAAUCAUUUUUAAAAUCCCAAGUACAAAGUUCUGCAGUCUUAACAUCCUGAUAUGUCUCUAAUUAAUUUCUCAAUGCUCAUCAUAUGUUUCAUAGAAUUUUUAGUGCGUGAAAUUUGCCAUUAGGUCUUAAAUUGAUGUUGCAUAUUGCAUUUAGGAUACUUCAUUACUUUAGAGUUAGUGUUCACUUAAUGUUUUACUUGGGUAAGGAUCAAUAUAGCCGAAUGAACAGAUAUUUAUUCUUCAUUCAACUUAAUAUACAAGUAAGUAAAUUAGAUAACUAGAUAAGUGUUGGUGUUUAUAUUUUACUUGAGCACAACAAAGAGAGUGUGAUGUUAUUUCUGAUAAGUUUCUCCAUUGUGUUAUUUUGUUAGUAACCUAAUGGGAUUGCAUGAUAUGCAAUUUUAGAGCUAAUGCUAGCAGCGUGCAGGUGCAGCUAAAAGUUUCAAGGUUCAAGAUGAUGGUGAAGGAAAAGAUGCUGGUGAAGGAAAAGAUGCUGGUGAAGGAAAAGAUGCUGAGGAUCCAUUAAAUUAGUACAACUCGUAAAUCUAUUAAUGAUUUGAAAAGGCCUUGUAAAAGAUAUAUUUCUUUUGUUAUGUUUUUUUUUUGUAAGGUUUGAAGAAGUUGAUAAUAGACCUUAUCUAAUUGACUUAUUUUAUUUGUGAUCGAACAUAAUAUUUUAGUGUGUAUUUAAUCAUUAGUUAAUCAAGACAGAUAUUAAUAUUAUUAUAUAUUCUACCUAAAUAUUUUUUUAUUA
This is a long non-coding RNA of Beta vulgaris subsp. vulgaris (sugar beet), 2683 nucleotides long. RefSeq lists it as uncharacterized. The transcript is spliced from 3 exons. The record is from RefSeq and is a predicted model, not a curated record. Lineage: Eukaryota; Viridiplantae; Streptophyta; Magnoliopsida; Caryophyllales; Amaranthaceae.